AGAGCGAACGCUGGCGGCAGGCCUAACACAUGCAAGUCGAGCGCCCGUAGCAAUACGGGAGCGGCAGACGGGAUAGUAACACGUGGGAACGCGCCCUUCGGUUCGGAAUAACUCAGGGAAACUUGAGCUAAUACCGGAUACGCCCUUACGGGGAAAGAUUUAUUGCCGAAGGAACGGCCCGCGUCCGAUUAGCUAGUUGGUGAGGUAAUGGCUCACCAAGGCUACGAUCGGUAGCUGGUCUGAGAGGAUGACCAGCAUCACUGGGACUGAGACACGGCCCAGACUCCUACGGGAGGCAGCAGUGGGAAUAUGGACAAUGGGCGCAAGCCUGAUCCAGCCAUGCCGCGUGGAUGAUGAAGGCCUUAGGGUUGUAAAGCUCUUCGCCCGCGACGAUGAUGACGGUAGCGGGAGAAGAAGCCCGGCUAACUUCGUGCCAGCAGCCGC
Molecule: ribosomal RNA, 444 nt
Filed under: uncultured bacterium
Lineage: Bacteria
Description: SSU rRNA
Rfam family: Bacterial small subunit ribosomal RNA
Source: RNAcentral